UAGGCGGACGGGGGAGUAAUGUCUGGGAAACGUGCCUGAUGGAGGGGGAUAACUACUGGAAACGGUAGCUAAUACCGCAUAACGUCGCAAGACCAAAGAGGGGGACCUUAGGGCCUCUUGCCAUCGGAUGUGCCCAGAUGGGAUUAGCUAGUAGGUGGGGUAACGGCUCACCUAGGCGACGAUCCCUAGCUGGUCUGAGAGGAGGACCAGCCACACUGGAACUGAGACACGGUCCAG
This 237-nucleotide ribosomal RNA is filed under the name uncultured bacterium. Its description in RNAcentral is "partial 16S ribosomal RNA". It matches the Rfam family "Bacterial small subunit ribosomal RNA", at positions 95 to 334 of the family's 1533-position model. The record is from RNAcentral.